ACUUGAGAUAAAGUAGUUAUUGCGAUUUUAUUCUGGCAGUCUUUGAUAAGCUCUUCCAAGUUUAUUUCUGUUAGAAUAUUGUCCUCAAUGCUCAUCAGAGCAAAAUGGCUGAGUUUACUGUGAUUCGUUGUCAUACGUGGUCUGUUCUUCAUCAGCUGAAAUUGAUCCAACAAAUAAACUAAAUGCUUUUCCUUCGUCUUUAAAGCAACUAUGUUUAUUCUUCCUUUGAAUAAUGUGUGAAGGCCCUUGUUUGUGGAGGCUUCUAGACAGCUUCCUUUGGUUAAUCCGUCCCUGCUCCUGAGAGGAACUACUGUAGCAUCAAGUGAUGUUAUAGUAGGUGAGAUAAAAGUGGGUAAUUCACUUGAGAAACGUUCAAAUGAAUUACCUCAAAUAUAUAUUAUAGAGUAUACAAGAUAUUGCAACAUGGGGGCAAAAUGUUGCUGAAUCUUCAAAUGCGAUGAUGUUUUAUAAACCUUCGUACCUUACCGUAAUAAUUAAACAACAACCUUUUCAAUGAAAUCGAGCAGAGAAUAUAUUGCAUGAGACAUUCGUUAAUUAUCUUGUUUUUAUCUAGGUAUUUUUGAAUUAUAUCGCAUGUAAUAAAUCGUUUGACAAUGUUACAGAACACUGCAUGUGUUAUAACAUUGAAGGGUGUUACAGCACAAUGCACGGUUCAAACGAUAAGCUUUCCGCGAGUCUUAUAAUCUUCAAAGAGUUGUUCACUUAACAUACAUGUUCAGUCAUGUACAGUGUCGAGCGUACGGACAGUGAAAGAACGCGAACUCUGGCAGUGGUAUGUGCUAAACAAUUGUUUUUUCCAUUAAACAAAUAACUCCUUCUUCAGUCUUUUUUUAGGUACAAGACAUGAAGAUGAGGAAGAAGAUAGAGGAGUACGUUAUUAUUUUUCCUGUCCUUAUCUUAACUUGUUUUUAGAUUUUUCGUUUAGAUGAGGAGGAGGCUGAUGAAAAGUAGAGGAGGAUGCUGACGGAGAGACAAGAAGGAUGCAGAUGAAGAGACGAGGAUGCAGAUGAAGAGAAAAGGAGGAUGCACAUGAAGAGACGAGGAUGCAGAUAAAGAGAAAAGGAGGAUGCAGAUGAAGGGACGAGGAGGAUGAAAAUGAAUGGACAAGGAGGAUUAAGAACGGACAAGGAGGAUCAAGAAGGAUAUAGAGAAACAUGUCGAGCGUACGGACAGUGAAAGAACGCGAACUCUGGCAGUGGUGGGUGCUUACAAUUGUUUGUUUCCAUCAAACAAAUAACUUCUUCUUCAGUCUUUUUUUAGGUACAAGAGAUGAAGAUCAAGAAGAAGAUAGAGAGGAGUACGUUAUUUUUUCCUGUCCUAAUCUUAACUUGUUUUUAGAUUUUUCGUUUAGAUGAGGAGGAGGCUGAUGAAAAGAAGAGGAUGCUGACGGAGAGACG
Molecule: long non-coding RNA, 1418 nt
Organism: Xenia sp. Carnegie-2017
Lineage: Eukaryota; Metazoa; Cnidaria; Anthozoa; Malacalcyonacea; Xeniidae
Exons: 2
Source: RefSeq, a predicted model, not a curated record